GUGGAUUUGAUACCCUCGUAGUCCACGCCCUAAACGAUGUCUACUAGUUGUCGGGUCUUAAUUGACUUGGUAACGCAGCUAACGCGUGAAGUAGACCGCCUGGGGAGUACGGUCGCAAGAUUAAAACUCAAAGGAAUUGACGGGGACCCGCACAAGCGGUGGAUGAUGUGGAUUAAUUCGAUGCAACGCGAAAAACCUUACCUACCCUUGACAUGUCAGGAAUCCUGGAGAGAUCCGGGAGUGCCCGAAAGGGAGCCUGAACACAGGUGCUGCAUGGCCGUCGCCAACU
RNAcentral lists this ribosomal RNA (289 nucleotides) under uncultured bacterium. RNAcentral's name for it is "partial 16S ribosomal RNA". It matches the Rfam family "Bacterial small subunit ribosomal RNA", at positions 773 to 1060 of the family's 1533-position model. The record is from RNAcentral.